This 484-nucleotide ribosomal RNA is filed under the name uncultured bacterium. RNAcentral's name for it is "partial 16S ribosomal RNA". It matches the Rfam family "Bacterial small subunit ribosomal RNA", at positions 29 to 507 of the family's 1533-position model. The record is from RNAcentral.
AUUGAACGCUGGCAGCAUGCUUUACACAUGCAAGUCGAACGGCAGCGCGGGCUUCGGCCUGGCGGCGAGUGGCGAACGGGUGAGUAAUGCAUCGGAACGUGCCCAGUAGUGGGGGAUAGCCCGGCGAAAGCCGGAUUAAUACCGCAUACGACCUGAGGGUGAAAGCGGGGGACCGAAAGGCCUCGCGCUAUUGGAGCGGCCGAUGUCGGAUUAGCUAGUUGGUGGGGUAAAGGCUUACCAAGGCGACGAUCCGUAGCUGGUCUGAGAGGACGACCAGCCACACUGGGAAUGAGACACGGCCCAGACUCCUACGGGAGGCAGCAGUGGGGAAUUUUGGACAAUGGGGGCAACCCUGAUCCAGCCAUGCCGCGUGCGGGAAGAAGGCCUUCGGGUUGUAAACCGCUUUUGUUCGGGAAGAAAUCCUCUGGGCUAAUACCCCGGGGGGAUGACGGUACCGGAAGAAUAAGCACCGGCUAACUACGUG